UGGAGGCAGCAGUGGGGAAUUGUUCGCAAUGGGCGCAAGCCUGACGACGCAACGCCGCGUGGAGGAUGAAGGUCUUCGGAUUGUAAACUCCUGUUGCCCGGGACGAAUGGCCUCGACCUAACACGUCGAGGUGUGACGGUACCGGGUGAGGAAGCCCCGGCUAACUCUGUGCCAGCAGCCGCGGUAAUACAGAGGGGGCAAGCGUUGUUCGGAAUUACUGGGCGUAAAGGGCGCGUAGGCGGCCUGCUAAGUCGAACGUGAAAUCCCCGAGCUCAACUCGGGAACUGCGUCCGAUACUGGUUGGCUUGAAUCCGGGAGAGGGAUGCGGAAUUCCAGGUGUAGCGGUGAAAUGCGUAGAUAUCUGGAGGAACACCGGUGGCGAAGGCGGCAUCCUGGACCGGCAUUGACGCUGAGGCGCGAAAGCCAGGGGAGCAAACGGGAUUAGAUACCCCGGUAGU
This 458-nucleotide ribosomal RNA is filed under the name uncultured bacterium. RNAcentral describes it as "bacterial SSU rRNA". It matches the Rfam family "Bacterial small subunit ribosomal RNA", at positions 343 to 794 of the family's 1533-position model. The record is from RNAcentral.